GACGAACGCUGGAGGCGUGCUUAACACAUGCAAGUCGAACGAUGAAAUGGAGCUUGCUCCAUGGAUUAGUGGCGAACGGGUGAGUAACACGUGACUAACCUGCCAUUAAUUUUGGAAUAACCCAGGGAAACCUGGGCUAAUACCGGAUAAGUAAACCUGUGUCAUCACAUGGUUAUGGUAAGCUCUUCGGUUAAGGAUGGAUUCGCGGCCUAUCAGCUUGUUGGUGGGGUAAUGGCUCACCAAGGCGACGACGGGCAGCCGGCCUGAGAGGGUGAACGGCCACACUGGGACUGAGACACGGCCCAGACUCCUACGGGAGGCAGCAGUGGGGAAUAUUGCGCAAUGGACGAAAGUCUGACGCAGCGACGCCUCGUGAGGGACGAAGGUCUUCGGAUAGUAAACCUCUUUCAGCAGGGACGAAGCGAAAGUGACGGUACCUGCAGAAGAAGCACCGGCUAACUAUGUGCCAGCAGCCGCGGUAA
Molecule: ribosomal RNA, 482 nt
Filed under: uncultured bacterium
Lineage: Bacteria
Description: partial 16S ribosomal RNA
Rfam family: Bacterial small subunit ribosomal RNA
Source: RNAcentral